This 468-nucleotide ribosomal RNA is filed under the name uncultured bacterium. Its description in RNAcentral is "partial 16S ribosomal RNA". It matches the Rfam family "Bacterial small subunit ribosomal RNA", at positions 28 to 507 of the family's 1533-position model. The record is from RNAcentral.
GACGAACGCUGGCGGCGUGCUUAACACAUGCAAGUCGAACGGAAAGGCCCUUCUUGGGUUGGGUGCUCGAGUAGCGAACGGGUGAGUAACACGUGAGUAACCUGCCCUUGACGUUUGGAUAACGUCAGGAAACUGUGGCUAAUACCGUAUAGUUGCUCCUCCUGCAUGGGGUGGGUUGGAAAUUUUCGGCGGUGGGGGAUGAACUCGCGGCUUAUCAUAUUGUUGGUGGGGUAGUGGCUUACAAAGUCUUUGACGGGUAGCCGGCCUGGGGGGGUGACCGGCAAAAUUGGGAUUGGAAUCGGCCCAAACCUCCUAGGGGAGGAAGAAGUGGGGAUUAUGGCAAAAUGGGCGGAGGCUUAAUGAAGAACCGCGGCGUGCGGGAUGACGGCCUCGGGUUUGUAACCGCCUUUAGCCUGUGCCGAAGCGUGAGUGGCGGUAAUGGGUAAAGAAGCACCGGCUAACUACGUG